Molecule: long non-coding RNA, 2163 nt
Organism: Homo sapiens (human)
Lineage: Eukaryota; Metazoa; Chordata; Mammalia; Primates; Hominidae
Source: Ensembl
AGUUCAGUGGCAGCAUUAGAUUCCAAUAGGAGUGUGAACCCUAUUGUGAGCUGCGCGUGCGAGGGGUCUAGGCUGCGCGCUCCUUGUGAGACGCACUCCUUAUAAGAAUCUAACGCCUGAUGAUCUGUCAUUGUUUCCCAUCACCUCCAGAUGGAACCGUCUAGUUGCAGGAAAGCAAGAUGUCAGGGCUCCCACUGAUUCUACAUUAUGGGUGUGAAAGAAGAGUCAUCAUUCCUUCAAUCUAAAAGGAUUACAUCAAUUCAGGUAAACCAUAUUUUAUGAUAUGCAUUUAUUACAUACAAUGUGAUAAUACUAACUCUACCCUUAACUCUAAUGUGGGAAAUCCCUAAAAUAAAAUGUCAUAAGUUAACUUAUAUUCUUAGGCUUUACAUUUUAACUGCAGAGAUGGAAUUCAUGGUGGAAGCAAUAAUUGUUGCCCAUAAAUGAGAACAAUUUACCUGAAUGAGUACGGAAACACCUCUUUUAAAAUCAUAUACUUUAUAGAAAACAUAACUUUCUAAUAAAGUGUUAAUUUUUCUUUGUACUGAUUAAAGUAUUGAACAACAGUUUCAUAAUGCAGUUCCAGAAAAUGGAGUGACUGCCAAUUAAAAAUGUGGGAAGAGAAAGUCUCCAUCUCCCUGAAGGAACAUACAGAGUCCUUUUAAGAUAAGUACAUUUAAAGAAAAUCGUUAUGCACAACACUAACUUCAUUGUAGGUUUUUGGCUCUCUUUCAUAUGACUAUGUCUUUGCAGAUGCCUUUAGUACCAGUGGGGAGUCUAUACUGGAAAUGCAUUCUUCGCCACUUGGCAGAGUAUUCACAGUAAAUGAAUAUCAGAGCUAGGAUUUUGUUGUUAGUUUUUUAUCUGUGGCUGGCUAAAAAGACAGACUUUUACCUACAGGUUGGAUUAUACUAAACAAAAAGAAGGAUAAGCAGAUUUUCUUUUAAGGCAAGACCAAAGGAAGGAAGGAAGACCAAAUCAAAUUUUCAUUUUGAAACAAUGAACAAUAGCAGACAAGUUGGUUAGCAGGGACACUACGUUUAAAUAUUUGUGUGUGUUUGCAUGUGGGGGGGUCUGUGUGUCUCAAAAUAGGAGCAGAAGGGCAGACUGAACACGUGUUCUUUCCCACCCCAAUUACUCUGAUAUGAUCAAAUAAAUAAAUACAUUCGUAACGCACUAGAAAACAAGAAAGGGUGGUGUCAACAUCAAAGAUGUUGAGAUAUUUAUAAAAGAUAUAGAGCAGAUAGGAUUGAAUUCUUCAUAAAAAAAAAGACCAGAAAAAAACACAUAGGAGAGAGAGAGUGCAGAGAUGAGAGUGCUUAUGGGAACUUCAGGCAGCCUUAGGAGGUCAAGGAGCAAUUGUCACAGUGAUUAACUGGGGCAGUGCAUUUAGAGGGACUAGGCUGAUCAGCCAGCCCCCCUACCUCCUGACUAAGCUGAGCAAAAGAGAGCAGGAAUUGCCCUCAGGCUAAACAGAUGAGCAUGGGCUCUGAGACCAAAGAGAUGGGACAAUUCAUUGUCACAAGUAGCUAGUGAUACCCUUGAGACCAGCUGAAACCUCCUCCUAGCAGAAUGCCCUGUCCUGUCCCCACGAUCACUGCAGAUAAACUCCUGUAAUCCGAAUCAAUUUCUACUAAAAUGUGAACAAGUUAUUCAAAUAUGUAUGCCAACAAAACUAAGAUUCCAAGAUAAAGAAAAAUGUGGGAUAUAAGAAAGCAUGAUAAGAAAAAAAUAUAUAUAUAGUUAAGUUUAAAUCUUUUUUCUUUAAUUUCAGCUUUUAUUUUAGAUAUGAGGACGGGAGCUACAUGUGUAAGAUGUGUACACAUAAAUGUGUACAUUAUAUGUGUACACAUAAAUGUGUACAUUAUAUGUGUACACAUAAAUGUGUACAUUAUAUGUGUACACAUAAAUGCUGAUGAACUCUAUAGUCAAAAACUAAUUAUAGUUGGAGGCAUAUUUUAAGAAUUUAAAAGUAAAACUUCUGGUUAAACUUAAUGGAUUAAGUCUACAUAUUUACUUUAUUUUAUUUUAGAGUGCUACUAAAAACUUAAAAGUAAAUUAAACAGGCCAGGCGUGGUGGCUCAUGCCUGUAAUCCCAGCACUUUAGGAGGCCAAGUCGGGCGGAUCAGGAGGUCAGGAGAUCAAGACCAUCCUGGCUAACAC